AUGAACGCUGGCGGCGUGCCUAAUACAUGCAAGUCGAGCGAACGGACGAGAAGCUUGCUUCUCUGAUGUUAGCGGCGGACGGGUGAGUAACACGUGGAUAACCUACCUAUAAGACUGGGAUAACUUCGGGAAACCGGAGCUAAUACCGGAUAAUAUUUUGAACCGCAUGGUUCAAAAGUGAAAGACGGUCUUGCUGUCACUUAUAGAUGGAUCCGCGCUGCAUUAGCUAGUUGGUAAGGUAACGGCUUACCAAGGUAACGAUGCAUAGCCGACCUGAGAGGGUGAUCGGCCACACUGGAACUGAGACACGGUCCAGACUCCUACGGGAGGCAGCAGUAGGGAAUCUUCCGCAAUGGGCGAAAGCCUGACGGAGCAACGCCGCGUGAGUGAUGAAGGUCUUCGGAUCGUAAAACUCUGUUAUUAGGGAAGAACAUAUGUGUAAGUAACUGUGCACAUCUUGACGGUACCUAAUCAGAAAGCCACGGCUAACUACGUG
Molecule: ribosomal RNA, 496 nt
Filed under: uncultured bacterium
Lineage: Bacteria
Description: partial 16S ribosomal RNA
Rfam family: Bacterial small subunit ribosomal RNA
Source: RNAcentral